RNAcentral lists this ribosomal RNA (564 nucleotides) under Rhodotorula mucilaginosa. RNAcentral's name for it is "partial large subunit ribosomal RNA". It matches the Rfam family "Eukaryotic large subunit ribosomal RNA", at positions 73 to 654 of the family's 3401-position model. The record is from RNAcentral. Lineage: Eukaryota; Fungi; Basidiomycota; Microbotryomycetes; Sporidiobolales; Sporidiobolaceae.
GUUCCCCUAGUAGCGGCGAGCGAAGCGGGAAGAGCUCAAAUUUAUAAUCUGGCACCUUCGGUGUCCGAGUUGUAAUCUCUAGAAAUGUUUUCCGCGUUGGACCGCACACAAGUCUGUUGGAAUACAGCGGCAUAGUGGUGAGACCCCCGUAUAUGGUGCGGACGCCCAGCGCUUUGUGAUACAUUUUCGAAGAGUCGAGUUGUUUGGGAAUGCAGCUCAAAUUGGGUGGUAAAUUCCAUCUAAAGCUAAAUAUUGGCGAGAGACCGAUAGCGAACAAGUACCGUGAGGGAAAGAUGAAAAGCACUUUGGAAAGAGAGUUAACAGUACGUGAAAUUGUUGGAAGGGAAACGCUUGAAGUCAGACUUGCUUGCCGAGCAAUCGGUUUGCAGGCCAGCAUCAGUUUUCCGGGAUGGAUAAUGGUAGAGAGAAGGUAGCAGUUUCGGCUGUGUUAUAGCUCUCUGCUGGAUACAUCUUGGGGGACUGAGGAACGCAGUGUGCCUUUGGCGGGGGUUUCGACCUCUUCACACUUAGGAUGCUGGUGGAAUGGCUUUAAACGACCCGUCU